Molecule: long non-coding RNA, 3197 nt
Organism: Monodelphis domestica (gray short-tailed opossum)
Lineage: Eukaryota; Metazoa; Chordata; Mammalia; Didelphimorphia; Didelphidae
Source: Ensembl
GGGGAGAGAGGGAGCAGAAGGAAAGGAAGAAGUAGAGGGAGGAAGGGAGGAAGGAAGAAGGGAGGAAGGAAGGAAGGAAGGAAGGAAGGAAGGAAGGAAGGAAGGAAGGAAGGAAGGAAGGAAGGAAGGAAGGAAGGAAGGAAGGAAGGAAGGAAGGAAGGAAGAGAAAGAAAGAAAGAAAGAAAGAAAGAAAGAAAGAAAGAAAGAAAGAAAGAAAGAAAGAAAGAAAGAAAGAAAGAAAGAAAGAGAAAGAAAGAGAAAGAAAAGAGGGGAAGGAAGGAAGGAAGGAAGGAAGGAAGGAAGGAAGGAAGGAAGGAAGGAAGGAAGGGAGAAAGAAAGAAAAGAGGGAAAGAAAGAAAGAAAGAAAGAAAGGAAGGAAGAGAAAGAAAGAAAGAAAGAAAGAAAGAAAGAAAGAAAGAAAGAAAGAAAGAAAGAAAGAAAGAAAGAAAGAAAGAAAGAAAGAAAGAAAGAAAGAAAGAAAGAAAGAAAGAAAGAAAGAAGGAAGGAAGGAAGGAAGGAAGGAAGGAAGGAAGGAAGGAAGGAAGGAAGGAAGGAAGGAAGGAAGGAGGGAAGGAAGGAAGGAAAAGAAGUAAAGUAGGGAGGAAGGGAGAGAGGCUGUGUCUACCAACUGCUUUGGUUCUAGUUUGUAAGUUAUGGAAGUAUUAUAUAUAAAAAGGAAUUCUUUAUUCCUUUUUUUUAUUAUUUAACAGGGGACUUAGAGGUCCACUUACCAUAGAAAUGUGUAGGGAUUAACUAGCCCACAGUGACAGGAAGGAGAAACCAUAGAAACAGGAAGUGAGGUAGGAAAAGGGUAUAAAAGGAACCAGCAUCAGUUAAUGGGUCUGUCGGUUGCUAACAGGACUGGCAGUUGCAGAGAAGUUGGCUGUUGGGAGCUUACUGAGAGGACUUUUAGCUUUAGCCUUUAGAGGACUUUUUGGCUUUUGGGUUUGGGCUAUUGGGUCUUUUUUUUCUUUCCUGAACUUUUUGGAAGGUGGCUGGUCUUCAUUGACAGACCUAAUUGGGGUUGGAUUAAACAAUGAUUAGGUUGGUUUGGAUUGGGUUGGAACUUUGUGGGGUGGUUGUUAGGUAGAUAUAGGCAGUUUUAGGUAGUAAUUAUAAGUAUUUAUAGGAUAACUAGUAUAGACAGGAAAUUUUCUUUCUCUACCUCUUUCCUAUAUUUCUCUUCUUAUAUAUUCAUUUUACUAUAAUCUUUUACUAUCUCUUUUUUAAUUAAAUGAAAUUGUUAAAUUAUUAAAAGCUGCUCUCUUAUUUUGUUAAAACUCCUCAUUUAACCCUUACAAUACUGAAUAUACAAGUUCAUCUAACAAUAGCUGUCUCCCUUUAAAUUGGGGCUUUUGAUUGCUAUAUCCAGUUUAUAUUUUUUUCUAAUAAUGACUCGCACUUAUUUACAUACUGCUUUACAUUUUUCAAAGGGUUUUUCUUCAUACUAGUUUGGUAAGAUGGAGAGAACAAAAUUCUUCCCAACUUACAGAUAACAAUAGUUGAUAUUUAUGGCACCACUGAAACUUGCAACUACUUCACAUUUUUUUAAAAGGAAUCUUCUAUUGUUAAGUUGCUGGGUUUAAUUUUUUAAAGUAAUAUUUCCUAGAUUUCUAAAUUAUGAUGACUUAAGACUGAUGUUGGUAUCUUAGGGUCACUAAGGAUAGCUUCUUUCCACAAAUACAAGCUAGGAAAAUCCUCAUGAUGUUUCUAAAUCCCACUGGAGAUUACCCUUUCCUCCUAUUGUUUUAAAAUUUCUCUGUUAAAUUCCCAGUAUUGACCUUAGAGUAAUCUAACCUUGUGCUUUUUCCAUGUAAGGUGACAACCCUGACCACAAUGUCAGUAAUCAUUUCAUUGUUCCCUCAAAAAGAAAAAUGGAUUGGGAUCUUUAUAGCUGUUUGGUCCAAAGGAUGCUUUUAGUCUUGAUAUAGAGCAGUCCUAAUACCAUAGCUCCUAUCAAGUGUAAUGACAUCACAGUGACAAAGUCCUGAUGUCAAAUUGAGACAAGGGUAGCCAUUCAAAGAUACUUCCUAAAUCCUGGGAAAUGCUAUUUGAGGUUUUGAAAGAGAAGAAAAGGAGACCAGCUUCUGUUCUAAUGUUUAUUAUAUCUAUCCUCUCUAUCAAGCUUCCUCUUUCCCAUGCUUUGUUUGGGGGGAAGCACUCUGUCAGAACUCUAAUCUAGGGGAAACCAAAAUUUAAUUAGUUCCAAAUCUCCCUCCCAAAUUCAUGAUUAGAAUGCCAGAAAGAAAACUGAUAUGUUUAAAAGCUGAUUGAAGACUUGGUUAAAAUGCAAUGCUGUAAAUACAGGAUUAAAUGUUUGUCUGAAUUGGGAUCCACUUGGUUUGUGAGGGGUGAGAUUGGUUAAGGAGGGCAGUCUUUCUUUUUUCAGUGCUUUUGGUUUGAGGUGUUUUAUAACUGGUGCUAAAGUGCAGGCUGUGACCCUCUAGCCCAAGAGCUCCCCAAUUUAUUGACCAAAGAAGUGAUCUGCAACUCUACCACAAAAGAGAGAGCUGUUUAUUGCAGCAGAUAUCAUAAGGAAAUAUAACGUCCCAGCUGGGUGAGAAGCUAGGAAUGCCAUAUGUUCAGAGGUGCAAGCAGAGGAUGCCUGCUGGGAGGGGAGGAAAAUAGAGAAAUUGCAUCCUCAAAUCAACAAGGAAAAAGAAAAGAGGGGAAAAGGGUUAAAAUUUUCACAUAAAAAGCUAUGUUCUCUUCCUAUGUUUUUUCCUUUAUUCUCUUACUUUCUGCUGCUGUAUAAUUUUCCUUUCCCUGAAUUUAUUGUCUCUGUUCUUAAAUGUACAAAUGUUUCAAUGCACAAGUACUUUUUGGUAGUAUGAGGGAAUUUCAUAUUAUCUCAUAAUCUCCAUACCUCAGCCAGUCAACUAAUGAGCAUUCGUCAAAUGUCCACUUUGUGCCUGACAUUGUGCUAAGCACUGGGGAUAUGAAGAUAAAAGUGCAACAAUCCUUGUCCUUGAGGAACUUCCAUUCUAACAGUAGAGAUGAAGAUGUACAUAUUUCAGCACAGGCACAAUAUAUGCAAAAUGAAUUUCAGACGGUUUUGGCAAGGGGUAUGCUAGCAUCACGUAGAACAGGAAUUUUUAACCUAGUACAUCAUGGACGCUUUAUGAAUGAACUUUUCUUAGCAUAGUGUUUUGAAAUGCAUAAAAUAAAAUGCAUAGGCUGACAAAGGAAAUAAAUCA